CGCCCGGUAGCUCAGUGGGAGAGCAGGAGCCUGCAACGUUCCAGGUCCAUCGUUCGAUUUAGGUCGGGCUU
Molecule: non-coding RNA, 71 nt
Organism: Lepraria neglecta
Lineage: Eukaryota; Fungi; Ascomycota; Lecanoromycetes; Lecanorales; Stereocaulaceae
Source: the annotation of a GenBank genome assembly